This 459-nucleotide ribosomal RNA is filed under the name uncultured bacterium. RNAcentral describes it as "bacterial SSU rRNA". It matches the Rfam family "Bacterial small subunit ribosomal RNA", at positions 30 to 507 of the family's 1533-position model. The record is from RNAcentral.
AUUGAACGCUGGCGGCAUGCCUUACACAUGCAAGUCGAACGGUAACAGGUCUUCGGAUGCUGACGAGUGGCGAACGGGUGAGUAAUACAUCGGAACGUGCCCGAUCGUGGGGGAUAACGGAGCGAAAGCUUUGCUAAUACCGCAUACGAUCUACGGAUGAAAGCAGGGGACCGCAAGGCCUUGCGCGGACGGAGCGGCCGAUGGGCAGAUUAGGUAGUUGGUGGGGAUAAAAGCUUACCAAGCCGACGAUCUGUAGCUGGUCUGAGAGGACGACCAGCCACACUGGGACUGAGACACGGCCCAGACUCCUACGGGAGGCAGCAGUGGGGAAUUUUGGACAAUGGGCGCAAGCCUGAUCCAGCCAUGCCGCGUGCAGGAUGAAGGCCUUCGGGUUGUAAGCACUUUUCGGAGGAAGAGGAAGGACUGUACUCCCAGAAUAAGCCUCGGCUAACUAACGUG